CGGUGAGCUAACCGGUACUAAUGAACCGUGAGGCUUAACCUUACAACGCCGAAG
RNAcentral lists this ribosomal RNA (54 nucleotides) under Salmonella enterica subsp. enterica serovar Bovismorbificans. Its description in RNAcentral is "partial 23S ribosomal RNA". The record is from RNAcentral. Lineage: Bacteria; Pseudomonadati; Pseudomonadota; Gammaproteobacteria; Enterobacterales; Enterobacteriaceae.